Molecule: non-coding RNA, 84 nt
Organism: Bombyx mori (domestic silkworm)
Lineage: Eukaryota; Metazoa; Arthropoda; Insecta; Lepidoptera; Bombycidae
Source: Rfam
UUAACUCAAAUUUGUAUGGAGUUGGAAAAUUUGCCUACGUUUGCCACUAGGGGCGCUGUUCCAAGUACAUACAAAUUUGAGUUA